GCGGAGGAAAAGAAACUAACAAGGAUUCCCCUAGUAACGGCGAGUGAAGCGGGAAGAGCUCAAAUUUGUAAUCUGGCACUUUCAGUGUCCGAGUUGUAAUCUCGAGAAGUGUUUUCCGCGCCGGACCGCAUACAAGUCUGUUGGAAUACAGCGUCAUAGUGGUGAGAACCCCGUAACUGAUGCGGAUGCCCGGUGCUUUGUGAUACACUUUCGAAGAGUCGAGUUGUUUGGGAAUGCAGCUCAAAUUGGGUGGUAAAUUCCAUCUAAAGCUAAAUAUUGGCGAGAGACCGAUAGCGAACAAGUACCGUGAGGGAAAGAUGAAAAGCACUUUGGAAAGAGAGUUAACAGUACGUGAAAUUGUUGGAAGGGAAACGCAUGAGGUCAGACUUGCUAUUUGGAAUUCAGCCGCAAGGUGUACUUUUCAAUUCGCAGGCCAGCAUCAGUUUUCGGGGGUGGAAAAGGGUAGAG
RNAcentral lists this ribosomal RNA (468 nucleotides) under Phenoliferia glacialis. RNAcentral describes it as "partial large subunit ribosomal RNA". It matches the Rfam family "Eukaryotic large subunit ribosomal RNA", at positions 50 to 530 of the family's 3401-position model. Lineage: Eukaryota; Fungi; Basidiomycota; Microbotryomycetes; Kriegeriales; Kriegeriaceae. The record is from RNAcentral.